RNAcentral lists this ribosomal RNA (433 nucleotides) under uncultured bacterium. RNAcentral describes it as "partial 16S ribosomal RNA". It matches the Rfam family "Bacterial small subunit ribosomal RNA", at positions 29 to 507 of the family's 1533-position model. The record is from RNAcentral.
AGCGAACGCUGGCGGCAUGCCUAACACAUGCAAGUCGAACGAGACCUUCGGGUCUAGUGGCGCACGGGUGCGUAACGGGUGGGAACCUGCCCUUAGGUUCGGAAUAACUGCCCGAAAGGGGGGGUAAUACCGGAUAAUGUCUUUGGACCAAAGAUUUAUCGCCUUUGGAUGGGCCCGCGUUGGAUUAGCUAGUUGGUAGGGUAAAAGCCUACCAAGGCGACGAUCCAUAGCUGGUCUGAGAGGAUGAUCAGCCACACUGGGACUGAGACACGGCCCAGACUCCUACGGGAGGCAGCAGUGGGGAAUAUUGGACAAUGGGCGAAAGCCUGAUCCAGCAAUGCCGCGUGAGUGAUGAAGGCCUUAGGGUUGUAAAGCUCUUUUACCCGGGAUGAUAAUGACAGUACCGGGAGAAUAAGCUCCGGCUAACUCCGUG